This 468-nucleotide ribosomal RNA is filed under the name uncultured bacterium. Its description in RNAcentral is "partial 16S ribosomal RNA". It matches the Rfam family "Bacterial small subunit ribosomal RNA", at positions 28 to 507 of the family's 1533-position model. The record is from RNAcentral.
GACGAACGCUGGCGGCGUGCUUAACACAUGCAAGUCGAACGGAAAGGCCCUGUUUUUUUGGGGUGCUCGAGUGGCGAACGGGUGGGUAACACGUGAGUAACCUACCUUUGACUUUCGUAUAACUUCAGGAAACUGGGGCUAAUACCGGAGAGGUACUCCUGCUGCAUGGUGGGGGUUGGAAAGUUUCGGCGGUUGGGGUUGGACUCGCGGCUUGUCGGCUUGUUGGUGGGGUAGUGGCUUACCAACGGGUUGACGGGUAGGCGGGCUGAGAGGGUGACCGGCCACAGUGGGACAGAGAUACGGGCCAGACCCGUGCGGAAGGCAGCAGUGGGGAAUAUUGCACAAUGGGCGGAAGCCUGAUGAAGCAACGCCGCGUGCGGGAUGACGGCCUUCGGGUUGUAAACCGCUUUCGCCUGUGACGAAGCGUGAGUGACGGUAAUGGGUAAAGAAGCACCGGCUAACUACGUG